GAUGAACGCUGGCGGCGUGCCUAAUACAUGCAAGUCGAGCGAACGGACGAGAAGCUUGCUCCUCUGACGUUAGCGGCGGACGGGUGAGUAACACGUGGAUAACCUACCUAUAAGACUGGGAUAACUUCGGGAAACCGUAGCUAAUACCGGAUAAUAUUUUGAACCGCAUGGUUCAAUAGUGAAAGACGGUCUUGCUGUCACUUAUAGAUGGAUCCGCGCUGCAUUAGCUAGUUGGUAAGGUAACGGCUUACCAAGGCAACGAUGCAUAGCCGACCUGAGAGGGUGAUCGGCCACACUGGAACUGAGACACGGUCCAGACUCCUACGGGAGGCAGCAGUAGGGAAUCUUCCGCAAUGGGCGAAAGCCUGACGGAGCAACGCCGCGUGAGUGAUGAAGGUCUUCGGAUCGUAAAACUCUGUUAUUAGGGAAGAACAUAUGUGUAAGUAACUGUGCACAUCUUGACGGUACCUAAUCAGAAAGCCACGGCUAACUACGUG
Molecule: ribosomal RNA, 497 nt
Filed under: uncultured bacterium
Lineage: Bacteria
Description: partial 16S ribosomal RNA
Rfam family: Bacterial small subunit ribosomal RNA
Source: RNAcentral